CCUACGGGAGGCAGCAGUGGGGAAUAUUGCACAAUGGGGGAAACCCUGAUGCAGCGACGCCGCGUGAGUGAAGAAGUAAUUCGUUAUGUAAAGCUCUAUCAGCAGGGAAGAAAAUGACGGUACCUGAGUAAGAAGCCCCGGCUAACUAUGUGCCAGUAGCCGCGGUAAUACGUAGGGGGCAAGCGUUAUCCGGAUUUAUUGGGGUAAAGGGGUGCGCAGUCGGCCUGUUAAGUCAGCGGUAAAAGCCCGGGGUUAAACCCAGGCGAGCCGUUGAAACUGGCAGGCUGGAGUUGGAGAGAAGUACGCGGAAUGCGCGGUGUAGCGGUGAAAUGCUUAGAUAUCGCGCAGAACCCCGAUUGCGAAGGCAGCGUAC
This 373-nucleotide ribosomal RNA is filed under the name uncultured bacterium. RNAcentral's name for it is "partial 16S ribosomal RNA". It matches the Rfam family "Bacterial small subunit ribosomal RNA", at positions 338 to 729 of the family's 1533-position model. The record is from RNAcentral.